Molecule: ribosomal RNA, 440 nt
Filed under: uncultured bacterium
Lineage: Bacteria
Description: partial 16S ribosomal RNA
Rfam family: Bacterial small subunit ribosomal RNA
Source: RNAcentral
CCUACGGGUGGCAGCAGUAGGGAAUAUUGCUCAAUGGGGGAAACCCUGAAGCAGCAACGCCGCGUGGAGGAUGAAGGUUUUCUGAUUGUUAACCCCUUUUGUUAGAGAAGAUAAUGACGGUAUCUAACGAAUAAGCACCGGCUAAAUCCGUGCCAGCAGCCGCGGUAAUCCGGAGGGCGCAAGCGUUACUCGGAAUCACGGGGCGUAAAGAGCGCUUAGGCGGGUUAGCAAGUCAGAUGUGAAAUCCUACGGGUUAACCAUAGAAUUGCAUUUGAAACUGGUAGUCUUGAGUAUGGGAGAGGUAGGUGGAAUUCGUGGUGUAGGGGUAAAAUCCGUAGAGAUCAAGAAGAACACUCAUUGCGAAGGCGACCUGCUGGAACAUAACUGACGCUGAUGCGCGAAAGCGUGGGGAGCAAACAGGAUUAGAUACCCUAGUAGUC